RNAcentral lists this long non-coding RNA (15591 nucleotides) under Fragaria vesca (wild strawberry). Its description in RNAcentral is "long non-coding RNA (FVES_LNC003253)". Lineage: Eukaryota; Viridiplantae; Streptophyta; Magnoliopsida; Rosales; Rosaceae. The record is from RNAcentral.
CACUCACUGUCUUAUUGUUUCUAGAAAACGAUCAUCUGGCAGUUAACAUCACUGUGAUAGUCAACUCCACAUUUUAUGUUAGUUUACAUUCAUUGCGACAAAAUUCAACAAAUUUAAACCUGUUUGAGCUAAAUUACUAAUCAAUCAAAUACAGGUACAAUUAAAGACUGAACUUACAGAUGCACUGAAUGAUGGCUAGGUACAUCAUUGUGCAAAGUAAAAGGCAGGUAGAAUUCAUCAUUGAUCCAAAGUCCAAACUGAAUGCAGGCAGCAAUGGGAUACCAUUUAAUCCUUCAUUAGAAUUUCAACUGAACACAGAUGUCAAAAGGAAUACAAGUUUUCUAAUACAAAGUACAAACAUCUCGCAACCUAAAGAAAAGUUACAUGGUAACACAAGCAGGAAGAUAAAUUAAUUAAAUUCCAUCACACACAAGCCAAUGUUUCUACAUACCAAUGAUUGUUACUUCCGACUCGUAAGAGACUAUCAUCCAGACCGGGCAUGGGAGCCAAGUCAAAAGAUUUGGCGGUCUUAAUCUUAAGAUUAUAAGAGAAGGCUUUGCCAGGUAUGUGCAUCAACAGAGCUGAACAUUCAUCUCCUUCUUUUUCUUCUUGAGUAGAAAGAGAAUCUGAACCAGAUUCCUUUGAAACCUGGGGUAAACGGUAGAUAUAGGAUCAAGGUCAACAAGGUACUUGACAAACCAGCCAGAGUAGUCAUUUCCCAUUUCCAGAACUUCAAAUUGACUGAUACAAGGGUUAUAAAUAUCAAUAAGUUGCAAAUGGCGCUUGUCAACAGACUCCCGAAAGUAUCUAUAUAUCCUCCUUCCCCAGCACUUUUCUCAGCUCAUAUAGCGAGGAUGAGGAGGUACAUGACCGAUACGCUCUUCAUCCACUUGAAAGUACAAAAGCUCACAAGUCAGGCCUACCCUGUGAAUUGCUCCAUUGAGGAAUACAGCGUCACUUAAACAGAUUCGAUCAUGUAUAGAGAAAGAAGAAUCAAGAAGCCUCCAACUUUGAGUCUCAGACGAAUAGAUGAGAAUGUGGAAGUGCUGGCAGACCAUGGUUCCAUCAAUGGUGCGUACGCAGACAACCUUGUAGUGAGGUGAUUUGGAAGGGUCAAAAGCCAAAGCAAUGCUGACGAUGUAGGGCGCCUCCACUUGUUGACCAGCAUCGUUAGUAACAGCAGUAGCCAGAGGAGGAAUGAGUUCGGCCAGAGGAGGAAUGAGUUCGGAGAACUGGUUGGUUGUGGGAUUGAGAAUAAUAUAUGGGGGGUUCAGUUUUUUUGCAUCCAAAAGAUUGCACAACAACAGGCCGUUGCAGGACUGGAUAACUUUGAUGUGCUCGUCAUAUUGGUGUUGAAAGAUAUUCAGAGGAUUGUAGGGUGAACCAAACUCAAGAUGAUCAUCCAGAGGAAUAGGGAUGAAACCACAUUUGGUGGAUCUGUAUGGAAAGACCGCGGAGAUGGGAGUGUUUGGGUUUCGAAGGGUGUGACGGUGACAGAAUGCUGGGAGACACAUUUGAAGCGGACCAAAGGUCUAGCCGGAACACGCAAAAGGAUUUUGGUAAGGAGUUCAUCAAUGUUACCUACUGUUUCUGCUAAGCUACUAGUGCAGCGUUUGGGGUAGAUACUGAGCUCAUCUGAAUUUUUAACCAGGAGAAGUUUGGCCUUUUCUAGGCUUUUAUAAGGCUACUGAACCUAUCAACCACUCCUGAUGGAAAAAGGACAAUAUUAAAUCCCAAUCAAACAGAAAAUUAAUAUAAAAAAAUAAUAUAAAAAUCUGUAUAUUAGGUUUGGUCGCCUAGUUCAUUCAUGAAUUUCUGGAACUUCAUGAAUGCUAUUUCCAACCCAAACCUGGAGUUAUAUAUGAACCCAAAGCAGGAUAUGAAUCCAAAGCAAAACAUAUCGUGCUUAAUCAUGUAGUGUUAAACACAUGAUAGCUAUCAAUAAAAUUGCAAAUUUAUUGUAGCCUUAAAUGUAAAGCUAAUAAUUGAUCAAUAAAAACAACAGGAUAACAUUUAUAAGAGCUUAAAUGUAAGUGUCAAAUGAACACAUGUAUAAUAAGACUUUUCUAAUACAAAGAUUUUACAACCAGAAGCAGAAACCACACAGCACCAGCAAGGUGAUAGUAUCACACAGAGGCCAAAGACUCCAUAUAUCGAAAAUUAGAUGGUUCAACUCGUAAGAGAUGAUUCUUUACUCCGGCCUUGGGAGUCAACUCAAAAGAUUUGUACGUCCCGCACUUAAGAUUAUAAGAUAUGAGUUUGCCUGGAGUAUGCAGCAACAGAUACGAACUUUCCUCUUCCUCAUUCUUGUCUUGAUCUAUAAAUAAAACAACAUAUCGUUCAGACGGGGUCAGCCGGCGGCAUAUAGGAUCUAGGUCAACAACGUACUUAACAAACCAGCCAGAGUAGUCUUUUCCCAUCUCCAACACUUCAAAUUUAGUGAGAGAAUGCCGAAAAAUAUCAAUAAGAUGCAAAUGGUGGCCGUCACUAGACUCCAUAAAGUAUCUAUAUUUUCUACUCUCAUUUAACCUAUCGUACAAGUGAGGAGGUAAACGAACAUAACUGUCGCGUUCUUCAUCUACGUGAAAGUAUGCUACAUCAUUAUACAUGCCUAACCAAUUAAUUGCUCCAUUCCAGUAUAGCACGCGUGAAUAGAGGAUGGAAGAUACCCUCUUGAAAGUUGAAUCGAGAAUCCUCCAACUAUGAGUCUCAGAUGAAUAUAUCGCUAUGUGAAAGAUAGUGCCGUCUAUGGAUCCAUCAAUGGUUCGAAGACAGACCACCUUGUAAUGAGGUGACUUGGAAGGGUCAAAAGCCAAAGCAAUAGAGAUGACACAAGGUUGUACUCCUUCACCAGUAGCUGGAGGAAUAAGCGUGGAGAACUGGUUGGUUGUAGGAUUGAAAAUAAAAUAUGGGGGGCCUUGCUUUGGAGAAUAAAGUAGACGACACAGGAAGAGGCCAUUGCAGGACUGGAUGAUUUUGAUGUCAGCAUGAUAUUGGUUUUGAGCAAACUUAAGAGGAUUGAAAGGGGGUGAGCUAGACGGAGAUGGGUUUUGGAUUUCAUGGUUACUGGUAUUAAUACUAGUACUACAAGCUCCACGCAAGUGAUCAAAAUCAAUAGGGAUGAAACAAAAGAUUCGGUUGGAUUUGUCACAAAAGACAGCAGAGACAGGAGGAUUUGGGUUUUGAAGGGUGUGGCGGUGACAGAAUUUUGGGUCGGAAAUAAGAGAAAGCCAAUGCUUGGAGACGCACUUGAAGCGUACUAGGGGUUUAGCUGGCACACGCACAAGGAUUUCGGUAAGGACUUGUUCUAUGCUGGCUAUUGUUUCUGCUAAGCUGCUACUGGUGCACCGUUUGGGGUAGAAUCCCUGCUCCAUCUAAAUUCGAAAUGAGGAUCAGGUAUGGCCGUUCAGCCUUGAUUAAAUAACAAUCCUGAUGAACCCUUAAUCAAAACACUCCCGAAUCCUGAUGAACAAAGGAACACAUUAAAUCCUAAUCCAAAUAGAAAAUUACUAAAAACACAAAUUUGUGCUAGGUAGCUCCUCAUUCAAAUCCUUACAGCACAGCCCUCAACUAACCCAGCUUCAAUUAAACUCAACACAACUCACUUUUUCCACAAGUCAGUGUAAAGAAUGGACAUUGAAUCAAGGUAGAUGGUCUAGUGUCUAGUACCAAUAAAUAAUGAAAAAUUGAAGGGAAAUUCAAAUCUUUUUUGGGUAACAUGUCAUGAAUCAUAGCGAAGAAGUAACCAAAUUGACUAUAGAGUACACUAUUCUUAAGUUAUUGCAGAUUGAAAAACAAACAAGCGUGUAACUCAGAGAGCAAACACAACAGCAUGGGAAUCGGUGGAAUUACGAGAAAAGCUUACUUGGGUUGUAGAUAUCAACAGAGACCGAAACACACUGGGUGGUGAGUUGAUCUUCAAUCUGUCGUUUCGAUACUAACGACACUGCCCGGAUUUCGCGGUCGGGAGUUGAAGUUGCAGCUUGCAGGUCGAAGAAUGAGUUGGAGUUUCUGUUCUCUUUUGUGGUGGUCAGACUUGGAUUCCCACCUCACUGUAAUAAGAACUAGUGUAAUGGAAGACAAUGUUUACAUCUGCAUAAUAACUUACCAGUUACUUUUGUCAUCACAAAUUGGAAAUAGAACUUGUCAGAUAUAUCAAAUUAUCAACAUUACAAAGAAUGCUAGUACGAAGGAAUUCCUCCAUUCCCUCCAGUUAAACCUAUCCUAUAUACUAUAGCAGGAAGGCAUUACAACUGUUCAUUCAGUCGUGGAAAUGAUGAUGUUGCCCCCGGUUUGCAGACAAUUGCAAAACUGCCACUCUUUCCAUGCAAUUCUGGUUUUGCCCCGAUUUGCAAACAUUGUGUGUCUCUGCUUUGACACCUGUUGGGCAUCUGUUUCUUUACCUCGCCACCUGUUGUCUUCUCUUGCACGACUGACUAAACAUUGUGUUUGGGUUCUACAUCCCUUUUCUUUUUCUGGGUUUUCUUCUUCAUCUCCUUCUCCUCUCUCUCCCCGCAAGACCCAAAGUCGUGGUUUUUUAAGCUUACCCACAUCGCUGCGUCAGCACUACUCCAAGGGCCGCACCAUAAAGGUGCAGACCAACCCGGACCAGUCNNNNNNNNNNNNNNNNNNNNGUGAUGACUUUCAUUGCAACAAAAUUGAUACCCCUAUUUGACAAAGGAAAAAAAAAAGUGAUUUGCAUCACUAAUGGAUGCAUUGUUAGCAAGAUGCAUUGUUAGCCAUAAAAAUAGAUGUGUAUGUCAUUAGUGAUGCAAGCAUGCGUGAUGACUUUCAUUGCAACAAAAUUGAUACCUAUUUGACAAAGGAAAAAAAGAAAUGUGAUUUUUGAGUAGAUGGAGUAGAUAUCAUGUGGUCCUUUUGUGUUUUCAGCUCAUCAGCAAUGCCCAUAUGUAUGUUUGUUUUAUGCCCAUAUGUAUGUUUGUUUUUUGGAUGCUAACAGGUUAGCCAAGGUUGCUUCUAAGUACAAAUGCAGUAUAGCAUUGUCUGGCAAUAGGAAGCAUUUUGUUUAGAAAACUGAUAAUACAUGUAACCUAUUUUGUUACCCUCAAUUAUUCUGAUACAUGGGAUACAAAGUUGUUGAUGGAGGGACAUGUAUUGUACUACUGCUUUUGUUUAAUACAUUAUGUAUAUUAGUAACAUUACUAUAUCUAUGUUCAGUUUUUCAUGCAUUUCAGUUUUGCUUAAUCUUUCCAUAAUAAAUGAAUUAUUAUUGGUGUCAUGUGGUAAAUAAACUCAUUCACCAUUUUCUUAAAUUGAAACUUUAAUAGUAUUGCUAGAAGAACACUAUACCUAUGUUUACAUGCAAAAAGCAUCAUUGUAGACAUUCAACAGCAAAAUUGAUCCAAACAAAAGCAUUUACGGUAGGGAACAUCCGUCGUUGCAAACCGCUGCAACGCGCGGGCAUCAUCUAGUUGGAGGUAUUUCAAGAAACCAAUUUAGACCACGUGAUAUUCAACUCCACAUUUUAUGUUAGGUUACGCUCAUUGCGACAAAAUUCAACAAAUUUUGAGAAACAUUCCUCUCCUUCGUUCCUCCAUGGAUUACAUCUAAAAUUAAUUGGCAAUGGAUGGAAUAGCCCAAACCCUUAUAAAUCACAGACAAUGUUUCAUUUUUCCUGAUAUGAGAUAUAUAUCUCAACACACCCCCGCAUGUGUGACGAAUCUUCAAGCCUAACACAUAGACAACAUUUAGGGUGACGUGGAGUUUAUGUGGCCUUUGAGCUUCACACAUGAACGUGAGUAACCCGCUCUGAUACCAUGAUAAAGUAAUCUAAAGAUCACAUCCAAAAUCAAUUGACAAUAGAUGGAGUAACACAAACCCUUAUAAACCACUAAGGUGUGAGAUAUAUAUCUCAACAGCUAGAAAACUCUCUCUCACCCAAUUUCAAAUUUUCCGGCCACUCACCGCCCUCGGUUCACCCACAAUUCCCACAUUCUCAGUCGACCCACUUUCCCGGCGAACCAUCUCUGGAAACACACCUUAUCCCUGGACUGGCCGAGGAGCUCAAGCUUUGCACCGGAGGAAGGUAAAGCAGUCGUCUUUGUCUCCACUUCGCCAUCAUCUCUUACAAAUAGGAUCUUGGGAUGAACUGUGCGGUUUGAAUGGAGCAGAAAAAUCCGUUCUUGGUUGUGAUGCCGCUCGUUUCUUGGGCCUCGGGGUAAUGGGUUGAAAUCGGGGACUGGUUUUGGCGGAGCGGCUGUGGUGGGUGGUGGUAGCUUCGUGGAUAAUCGGGAUUGCCUUUUCUUGAUUUCCGGGAAAUGUGGGAGAUUGGUAAACCCACUUUCCCGGCGACCCAUCUCCCAAAUUUCCCGGAAACCAUGAAAAGGCAAUCCCGAUUAUCCUCCUCGUCGAAGAAGACGACGAAGCUACCACCACCCAGCACGGCCGCUCCGCCAAAACCAGUCCCCUAUUUCAACCCAUUAGCCCGAGGCCCAAGAAACGAGCGGCAUCACAACCAAGAACGAAUCUUUCUGCACCAUUCAAACCGCACAGUUCAUCCCAAGAUCCUAUUUGUAAGAGAUGAUGGCGAAGUGGAGACAAAGACGACCGCUUUACCUUCCUCCGGUGCACAGCUUGAGCUCCUCGGCCAGUCCCGGGAUAAGGUGUGUUUCCUGAACCAUUCGGCCAACACGCUGGGCAUAUGGGAUUUGAAGAAACAGAGAAUGGAACAACAAGUCGCCGUUGACACAGGGGUACCGGCGGCCCAUGGAUUUGGGCAUACAAGAAACGGACACUUAAAAGUCAGGUUCAUAAUCCCACCCAUUGUUCCAACGGAUCGAGUUUACACCCUGGAGAUCUGCAGAGAGGACCCGGAGGAGAGGAAGCUUGUUUGGUUCAAAAGAGAGGUGAUCCAUCCGGUGUCUUUCCAUCUGGCGCAAGGUUUUGCGAAACUGGUGUGUGAGGGAGAGGAUCGAUUCCUGUUUUGGAAAGGGGGCUACGCAAGUGCCACACGUAUUCAGAUUAUAAAGUUUGAUUUGGAGAGAGAAUCCUUGGGGCUUGUGAGAGUCCCUCCAGAUGAUUCUUUAAGGCAUCAAAAUAUGUGUAUUGGCCAUGGAUUUCAAGGCAGGCUGGCCUUGUCUGUAUAUGUUCCUUCAUCGAAUGCAGAGCCUUUUUCGAUGCUGCGUGUGUGGACUCUUGAGAGGAAUGAUGGAGGAAAUAACAUCUUUUGGCAUAGGCUGCUCACCCUUCCUAUGGAGGCCUCCAAUGUGCUUGAGCCCUUUGUUCCUUUAUCCUUCUUCUAUGGAAGAGGUGAUUCAGGAGUGAACUUUCUGUUCCACAGGAAUAACAAUGAGGUCUUUCACAUUGUUCUGAGAGGUGACGAGGUUGUGAGCGCUCCGAUUACUAUACCAGCCUUCACCUACCGUCAAGGACCUUUUGUUGGUAGGCAGUUCCAAGCCACUCGCCUCCGUCCCAAAAUAUCCUUCAUUCUGGAGCCUUCACUGCCCAAAGUUGAGGAGGACAAGCCGAUGAGAUGGGAUCCCAGUCUCAGUUUUGCAGAUGACACUGAGUAAAAGAAGGUAGAUUUCCCUUAAGCUAUUCCUUUGGGGCAAAUUUAAUGUGUGUUAUUAAAUGCUGGCUAUCGAAUAGGGUCUGAUUUUGCUUAUUUUGCACCCUAGAAAACGCAUUUAGCUUUGGUCGAAAUGAUUUGAAAAGAUUUGUUUGUAUAUAGUCCCAAGUCAGUUGAAUGUUUGAAUAUGGUAUGGUGGGAUGUGUGACUUUUUCAUGUGCUAGUGUUAAAAACUCAAUUGGAUGCUGAUGGCAGGUUUUACUAUGUCUAGCUCCUCCUUUGAUUCAAUCAUUCACAGUACAUAUAUUUAGAUAACUGCAUACAUGUAGCAUGUUGCCUUACUAGAUUUGAAGUGUUGGAGAUGGGGAGAAACUACUCUGGAUGGUUUGUGAAGUACCAUGUUGGUCUUGAUCUUUAUAUGCUUUAUAAUUGUGCAUAUCUUCUGGGCUUCUAACUCGUAUUACUGAGCUGCAUCUAGCCAUAUAUACUGCAAUGAGCAGUAGAGAGGUGACCUUGUCAUGUUUAUCUUCAAUUGGAGAUAUAGCCAUGUAGUUCAGUUUAUGAGCUUCAGUGUGUUGUGUUGUGUUACAAGUUAUUUGAUAAGAUCUGUUCUUACAGUCACAAGUCACGUUUUUGUACUAAAUGAUUUGUGUUGUGGUAAGACCUCUGUGUAUUGAUCAUAGUAGUUUGCUUUGUGUCUGCAGGAUGAAUACUCAAACUGUACAGGACGAUUUAGGAAGGGAGGUAGUUGUGUUGAUGAAGACCAGCGCUUUGUGUCUGCAGGACAAAUAUACAAACCGUACAGGGAGACUUAGGAGGGGAGGUAGCUGUGUUGAUGAAUACUAGCGCUUUGAGUCUGCAGGAAGAAUAUACAGACCGUACAGGGAGAUUUAGGAGGGGAGGUAGCUGUGUUGAUGAAGACUAGUGUUUUGUUCCUUAAAAGGAUGAAAAAACGUUUCCUCUGCAACUAUGUUACAGUGAAUCAUAGAGAUAUUGGAUUUAAGCUUUUCAAUGUUUGUUGCUAUAUGUUAAUAGUGAAUCUGUUGGAUAAAUCUGGUAGCUUUACAUAUGCUGUUCUGUUUCUUGGUUAAAACAAAAGGAUGAAUCGUAUAGUUCAUCUUCGUUGCUGCAUUCUCCUGGUAAAGUGUUGAGUUUACUGAUCAGCAUUUACUAAUUGAUCAGCAGGAUAAGCUGAUGAUGAAGACUAAUGUUUUGUUCCUUAAAAGGAUGAAAAAAAUGUUUCCUUUGCAACUAUGUUACAGUGAAUCAUAGAGAUAUUGGAUUUAAGCUUUUCAAUGUUUGUUGCUAUAUGUUAAUAGUGAAUCUGUUGGAUAAAUCUGGUAGCUUUAAUCAUAUGCUGUUCUGUUUCUUGGUUAAAACAAAAUGAUGAAUCGUAUAGUUCAUCUUCGUUGCUGCAUUCUCCUGGUAAAGUGUUGAGUGUACUGAUCAGCAUUUACUAAUUGAUCAGUAGGAUAAGCUGAUGAACCUACAUAGUUCCAGCACCAGGAUAAGCUGAAUCUCUUUGGUUUGUAGAUGGCAAGCCACAUUACACGAGGGUGCUGAAGAUAUUAACAUGUUCAUUAGAUGUGUGAUAAAAGAAAAUCAGAAUAUCAAUUUAUCUCACAUUUGGAAGCUAGAAGGGUCUUCAAUAUCAUAAGCAUCUGGCUCAAUGGUAGGCUUUACCUUCUUGAACUUGAUCCAGAAGCAUCCAAGACACAAGACCAAUCUAUCAAGAGACUGAAUCAGGAACAGAACAAUGCAGAAUUUAGAGAGGAAGAUAGCCACUGGUGCAAUAUAUUCAACUCUGAAAGACAACCAAGCCAUAUAGGACCAAUGCACCAGACCCUGCACCUCCCAAGGUUGAUGAACUAGAUUCAAGUUCCAGUUCUUGUAAUGAGCAAUAACCUCAACUCCCAAAGCCACAAUUGACAACAUAAGAAAAGCCUUGAUGAAUGUAUACAACUUUCCUCGAUUUCUCGGCUCCUCAUCGCUCAUAUCCGAUAGAGCAAUGCGAUUCCUGAAUGCCAUUGGAAGCCAUGAAAGACAAGCAUAGAUUCUGUUGACUUUGAGAAGAAGAACCCAUGUAAACUGCUUGGGGCUCGCUGCUUUCUGCUUCUCAAAGAACACAGAGGAAUCCAAAGACUUGGCCUUUGAUAAAGAGUUGUCUGGCUUCUGGAUUGUGACUGUUUGGAGCCAGAACCAACAAAGGAAGAAGCAAAAUGAUGAACAGGCCGGAGGGGACUAUAUGCUUUGUAAGGAAAGAAGCCAUGAACAUAAAUCUGGGAUCUCUUGGAAGACAAGGAAGAUUAUAUAUACAACUAACCAAUCCUAAUCCUAACUCUGAUGCAUGAUAUGAUAUGAUUGUGAAAGAAAAACCAUGUAAGCCACGUUGACAUUUGACUUUUCACUCGCAGCAGUAUAACAUGGGGACGACAAAUGCAGGACUUCAACGUAGCCUUGAGUUUUGAUUAGCUUGAUUGCUCAUAUAUAAACCUCCAAGAUAGACCCGUACAUUUUUCUUUUAUAUAUUUCAAACGACACAAGGUAUGUAGCUAGCUAAUUACAUAUUCAUAUAUGUUCAAAAUCCCAGUACAAUAAUAAUUGAAUCAAUAGCAAUGGGUACGUCAUGGUUUUUAAUCAGUGGUUUCCAUGUGAGCUAAAACAAGUGCAGGCUCUCUCUGGUGAAAUAUACAGAUCCAUGACAGUUUCACAACCCAGCAAGCUGAAGUUAAACUGUUAAAACGGUUAUUAUUUACCAAUCAUGUGGGUAUUUAUGCAUGGUAGAUUAUGAUUUAGCUAUGGAAAAUUGGAAAGAGAUACAGUAGCAAAGGAUUAAGAUCACCAUGUUAAGCUUGGUAGCCACACCAGCAGUCCAGCACUACAAGUUCCAUGUGAGUUUGAUUAGUUAUACCCUGGACUUCCACUCUUGGCUCAGUGUAUUUGUUUGGUUUAGUCCAUUGCCUUGUACUACCUGGUUUCUGAAUACACAAAAUUAAUGAAAUCUUUACUUGCUUUCAUUUUUAUUGGUCCUGCUUUCUAUAUCAUGUCUAGCACUUGAAUGUGAUUUCACGUCGAAUCCAUAACGAUCAAUUUGGUAGUUGGUUUGAUGAUAGCGACCGAAACCGGGCGUUUCAAUUAAAAACUCUUUUGUGUCAAUUGUAGUAUAUAGCAAAUAAGGGUAUCGUUAUAAAAGUCGAGGAUUGAGGGUACCUUUACAAUUACGUUAAUUACAAAACAAGAGAAAAACAAAAUAUUAUAGUACUAGAGAUAUGAGGUUUUGUGAUUAUGAACAAAAGAAAACAAAGAAACAAAAUAAAUCAGAAAAUAUUAGAUGGAUGAGACGUUAGAGAUUUGGAAAUCCACCACCAAGUAUGUUUCAAGACAUGUUAACAACCAAAGCUUCGAUCAUUAAGUCACAAAUCGGUAUCAAUCAAGAACAAACCGUGAACGCACUGCGUAAGUCCUUAUUACUUCCCUUGAAUGCUUAAGCAAGAUAAACGCACCAUUACUAAGCAUUUAGAAUAAUCGAUCAAGGUAUAGACGCUAUCCUAUCAACAAAUUAUUCUAAGCAUUAAGAUCAAUGGAAGUGAUUGAACAAGUAUGCAAAACUAGUGUGGAACGCCUACCUAGUAUGCAAUCCUUUUUAUUUGGUUUCACCUAUUGUCCUAUAGGUUUCACUACUUUGAAACAGGCUUUUUAACCGUUUAGGAGAUUAAUCAACUUGUUUCUAGCCCCACUCACAAGUUCAUAAUGUUCUAUGUUGCGCAUACAUAAACAUAAACAAGCAAGAGUUCUCUAUAAAUCAAAACCAAAUAAACAAUUUGAAAGACUCAAUAAUUUGAAACCAAGGUUCAAAAUAAUAUCUAAAACAUUCUUGGGGCUUCAAACCUUGCCCCUAACUAAGAGAAUUCAGCCACACAUGGCUGCAAAAUCACACAAGGAGAAUAAAAGAUGACAAAGGAAAGAUAAACCGUGGAUGAUGAAAAGAUCAAUGAUAGCUUGACGGCUUCCUUGUGCGAGUCCGCAACUAUAGAGGUUCUAAUGAUGUGAGAUCGCUGAACAUUGUCAAGAAAAUAGAUGAUGAUUUAUUCAAUAAGCACUCAGAAAGAAUAACACAAUAAAGCUCAAAUCUUACCAGGGUAAUUAUGAAUCAAAACUCAUCAUCAACAUGCUCAAAAUUCUGUACCAAUGUCAACAACAAAAAAAACACAUCUACUACACACUCAUAUGCUUAGUAUAUAUCAUAAUUAACCAAAGAAUUAAUUUAAUAUCAUCUCAAUCAUGUUAUACUCUUUUAGCCAUAAUUUUAGAGAUAUAUACUCAUCCUAGACAGUUGAAAGACAUGAUAACUCACAGAAAAACAAACACAGUUUAAUUUUUUUUCAAAUUUUCGACUCUAACAAAAACAAAAUAAAACACAAAAUGUGUGCAUUCCCUUAUUACUUCCCCUAACUAAGAGAAUUUAGCCACACAUGGUUGCAAAAUCACACAAGGAGAAUAAAAUAUGACAAAGGAAAGAUAAACCAUGGAUGAUGAAGAGAUCAAUGAUGGCUUGGCGGCUUCCUUAUGCGAGUCCGCAACUAUGGAGGUUCUGAUGAUAUGAGAUCGUUGGCCUCCUCUAAUCUCUUCGUCCCCUCUUUUCUGCUGUGAUUAGGGUUAUAAAACCCUCAAAACUCGUCUAUGGGCUUGCCAAUGUGGUCUAGGCCUCAAAAUAGAAGUUUUGGUCCAAAUCAGAAAUUCGGGCAGACUGACCUCCGACCACUCAAACGGUCAUAACUUCUUCUGCAAAAUAGAUAUUGACGAUCCGUAAAAAGUUCUGGAAAGUAGACUCUUGUAGCUUUCCAUUGAUAUAUGGCACAUCUCCUGGAUUGCUGUGAGCUGAUCACAAUCUUCUGUUGAAGUUGACUGACAAUUUCUGGCAGAUUUUCUGAUUUCUUUCCUUUCAUGACAUGAAUUCAUUUUCCUUCAAGAUUUCUCCUCUUUUGUCUCUUUUGGGCUCCUUGGCUUUAUUUAUGACCUAAAAACACAAACUUAGUUAAUAUGAAUGUUAAGGGAAUUACAUAGCUAAAUAGGGUCGGAAAUACAUUAUAAACGUAGCACUUUGUGCUCCUAUCAUUUGUUGAAUACUGUGAUCCAGAAACUUGUGAGACGGCUGAAAAAUAUGCUUAGUACAUGUAACAUGGGAUGCAAGGGUGGAGGUUUUGUUGCGUUUAUAUCACGAGCCAAUAGAGUAUGGAGGAUACCCUCUUGAAAGAAGAAACGAGAAUCCUCCAACUUUGAUAUAUCACUAUGUGAUAGAUGGUGCCGCCUUUGGAUCCAUCAAUGGUCCGAAGACAGACCACCUUGUAAUGAGGUGAUUUGGAAGGGUCAAAAGCCAAAGCAAUAGAGAUGACACAAGGUUGUAUCCUUCACCAGUAGCUGGAGGAAUAAGUGUGGAGAACUGGCAGCGCUCAUUGUCUCAUUGUUUCCGGAAAGCAAUCAUCUGGCCGAUAACAUCACUGUGAUAUUCAACUCCACAUUUUAUGUUGGUUUACAUUCAUUGCGACAAAAUUCAACAAAUUUAUACCUGUUUGAGCUAAAUUACUAAUCAAUCAAAUACAGGUACAAUUAAAGGCUGAACAUAUAGAUGCACUGAAUGAUAGCUAGGUACAUCUGUCAGAAAUUGUGCAAAGUAAAACGCAGGAAACCUAACAAUAAAACUGAUAGUUAACCACAAACAGGUAGAUGGGGUAGAAUUCAUCAUUGAUCCAAAUUCCAAACUGAAAGCAGGCAGCAAUGGGAUACCAUUUAAUCCCUCAUGAAAUUUCAACUGAACACAGAUGUGAAAAGGAAUACAAGUUUUCUAAUACUAAGUACAAACAUCUCGCAACCAAAAGAAAAGUUACAAGGUAACACAAGAAGGAAGAUAAAUUAAUUAAAUUCCAUCACACACAAGCCAAUGUUUCUACAUACCAAUGAUUGUUACUUCCGACUCGUAAGAGACUAUCAUCCAGACCGGGCAUGGGAGCCAAGUCAAAAGAUUUGGCGGUCUUAAUCUUAAGAUUAUAAGAGAAGGCUUUGCCAGGUAUGUGCAUCAACAGAGCUGAACAUUCAUCUCCUUCUUUUUCUUCUUGAGUAGAAAGAGAAUCUGAACCAGAUUCCUUUGAAACCUGGGGUAAACGGUAGAUAUAGGAUCAAGGUCAACAAGGUACUUGACAAACCAGCCAGAGUAGUCAUUUCCCAUUUCCAGAACUUCAAAUUGACUGAUACAAGGGUUAUAAAUAUCAAUAAGUUGCAAAUGGCGCUUGUCAACAGACUCCCGAAAGUAUCUAUAUAUCCUCCUUCCCCAGCACUUUUCUCAGCUCAUAUAGCGAGGAUGAGGAGGUACAUGACCGAUACGCUCUUCAUCCACUUGAAAGUACAAAAGCUCACAAGUCAGGCCUACCCUGUGAAUUGCUCCAUUGAGGAAUACAGCGUCAUUGAAACAGCAGAUUCGAUCAUUUAUAGAGAAAGAAGAAUCAAGAAGCCUCCAACUUUGAGUCUCAGACAAAUAGAUAAGAAUGUGUAAGUGACGACCGUCUAUGGCUCCAUCAAUGGUGCGUAAGGAGACGGCCUUGUAGUGAGGUGAUUUGGAAGGGUUGAAAGCCAAGGCAAUGCUGAUGUAGGGCUCUAGUUGUUAGCUGGAGGAAUGAGUUCGGAGAACUGGUUGGUUGUGGGAUUGAAAAUAAUAUAUGGGGGGUUCAAUUCUGCAUCCAAAAGAUUGCACAAGAAGAUGCCGUUGCAGGACUGGAUAACUUUGAUGUGAUCGUCAUAUUGGUGUUGAAAGAUAUUCAGAGGAUUGAAGGGUGAACCAAACUCAAGAUGACCAUCCAGAGGAAUAGGGAUGAAACCACAUUUGGUGGAUCUGUAAGGAAAGACUGCGUAGAUGGGAGUGUUUGGGUUUCGGAGGGUGUGACGGUGACAGAAUUUGGGGUCGGAGAUAAGAGAGAGCCAAUGCUGGGAGACACAUUUGAAACGGACCAGAGGUCUAGCCGGAACACGCAAAAGGAUUUCGGUAAGGAGUUCAUCACUGUUACCUACUGUUUCUGCUAAGCUACUGGUGCAGCGUUUCGGGUAGAUACUGAGCUCCAUCUGAAUUUUUAACCAGGAGAAGUUUGGCCUUUUCUAGGCUUUUAUAAGGCUACUGAACCUAUCAACCACUCCUGAUGGAAAAAGGACAAUAUUAAAUCCCAAUCAAACAGAAAAUUAAUGUAAAAAAAUCAAAAAAAUCUGUAUAUUAGGUUUGGUCGCCUAGUUCAUUCAUGAAUUUCUGGAACUUCAUGAAUGCUAUUUCCAACCCAAACCUGGAGUUACAUACAGCAGGAUAUAAAUCCAAAGCAAAACAUAUUGUGCUUAAUCAUGUAGUGUUAAACAUAUGAUAGCUAUCAAUAAAAUUGCAAAUUUAUUGUAGCCUUAAAUGUAAAGCUAAUAAUUAAUCAAUAAAAACAACAGAAUAACAUUUAUAAGAACUUAAAUGUAAGUGUCAAAUGAACACAUGUAUAAUAAGACUUUUCUAAUACAAAGAUUUUACAACCAGAAGCAGAAACCACACAGCACCAGCAAGGUGACAGUAUCACACAAAGGCCAAAGACUCCAUAUAUCGAAAAUUAGAUGGUUCAACUCGUAAGAGAUGAUUCUUUACUCCGGCCUUGGGAGUUAACUCAAAAGAUUUGUAAGUCCCGCACUUAAGAUUAUAAGAUAUGAGUUUGCCUGGGGUAUGCAGCAACAGAUACGAACUUUCCUCUUCCUCAUUCUUGUCUUGAUCUAUAAAUAAAACAACAUAUCGUUCAGACGGGGUCAGCCUGCGGCAUAUAGGAUCUAGGUCAACAACGUACUUAACAAACCAGCCAGAGUAGUCUUUUCCCAUCUCCAACACUUCAAAUUUAGUAAGAGAAUGCCGAAAAAUAUCAAUAAGAUGCAAAUGGUGGCCGUCACUAGACUCCAGAAAGUAUCUAUAUUUUCUACUCUCAUUUAACCUAUCAUACAAGUGAGGAGGUAAACGAACAAAACCGUCGCGCUCUUCAUCUACGUGAAAGUACGCUACA